This 254-nucleotide ribosomal RNA is filed under the name uncultured bacterium. RNAcentral's name for it is "partial 16S ribosomal RNA". It matches the Rfam family "Bacterial small subunit ribosomal RNA", at positions 524 to 776 of the family's 1533-position model. The record is from RNAcentral.
GACAGAGGUGCCGAGCGUUAGGCGGAAUCACUGGGCUUAAAGCGUGUGUAGGUGGAUGCCUAAGUACCUUGUGAAAUCCCACGGCUUAACCGUGGAACUGCUUGGUAUACUGGGUGUCUUGAGCCAGCUAGGGGCUACCGGAACAAAUGGUGGAGCGGUGAAAAUGCGUAGAUAUCAUUUGGAACGCCAAUGGUGAAAACAGGUAGCUGGGGCUGUGCUGACACUGAGACACGAAAGCCAGGGGAGCGAACGGG